UGAAAACGUUUAAUUUAAGAAAUAUUACAAACCUUGCGAGUUGCUCAUUAAAAAAUUUGGCUUACGUGAUCCAAUACCGUUUAUUCAGAAUUGGCUGUCUAAAUUUAAAAAUGGAGGAUGGCUAGACAGCCACCUGGCGAAAUGCCAACUUCAAAGAGAUUUUUGUCUAUGUUAUUCCCAUAGUAGUUCUGAAAAUAAUAACUAAAUAAACUACUGGUGCAGAGUAUUUGGAAUUUUCCAAUCUGGUUGGAAUCGGAUUUGCCGGAUAUGGAAUAAAUUAGGAUAAUUGGCGAAAAAUUGAGAUAAUUUAGUUUCUCAAAAUGGCGAGCUUAUGUUUUCAAAAGCGAAUGGAAAAUAAAC
Molecule: non-coding RNA, 360 nt
Organism: Paramuricea clavata
Lineage: Eukaryota; Metazoa; Cnidaria; Anthozoa; Malacalcyonacea; Plexauridae
Source: the annotation of a GenBank genome assembly